This 1303-nucleotide long non-coding RNA is filed under the name Anser cygnoides (Swan goose). RNAcentral describes it as "lncRNA (ENSACDG00005001899.1)". The record is from RNAcentral. Lineage: Eukaryota; Metazoa; Chordata; Aves; Anseriformes; Anatidae.
AUGAGAGUCUUUACAGUCUUUUGUCCCUUGAUUUCUUUAUGCUCUCAGCUCUGCCCCCCAGCUUCCCUGCUUCCUACUGUAUUCCAGGCUAUUCUUAUUAACCACAUUUCACUGGUUACUUCUACUUUUUCAAGACUUAAAAAUUACAGCCAACACUGCACAUCAGAAGAGCACACACAAGGCGAUUUCUUACCUUAUUCCUCCCUCUUGAGGACAAAAAGUGCCCAGGAGCCAGGUGAGCUGCCACAAGCCAGGCUCAGUCUGCUCUGCCAAACCACCUCGUGGCAAAAUACAUUCGAUUAAAAACUGUGCAACACGCACUCAGAUGUACACAAAUUGGCUGGGACUCAGGAAGCCCUGAAGCUAGGUUUAAAAACCUGUUCUCACAGCUUGAGAGUAAUGCUCUUAAACCUAGGGACAGUGUCAAAUGGGGUCUGAUUAGCAGAAGUUCAACACUGACUUCGGAAUGUAAUUGCCUUGUAUAAGUAGAGGUUAAUUUCAGUUAAAUAGAUCGUACUGAUAUCCCUUGAGACUAGGUAAGCUGAUCUAAGAUGAAGCUGCCAGUUCGGUGAUUUAAAAUUAGAGCAAUGCCCUCCCUUCUUCAGGCCUCCCAGCAUCAUUCUUGCUGCCACAUGCUAACCCCACUGCAAUCUGAUGCUGUACCCAACUGAGAAUUGCUGUGCUCAAGUGGGAGGCAAUGAGAGCACAAGCACCACUGUUACGAAAGUCAAGCAGGAUUUGCUUCAUUGCCCCCAAGAUGAACAAACAUGAGGGUCCAUUUCCAUGGCACCGUGAUGGCACUGUGAACAUCUUCCAUGUACCACCAUUCUCUGUAGGACAGGAAUAUGCCCUCUCUUAAGGAAAAGGAGAAUUCUCCAAAAAGAGUGCAAUACAACAGUAGAAAGGGGCUCCCUACCAUCUGGGCAGACAGGCACCGAAGGUCUCAUAUAGGAUCACAGCUAUGUAUUGCUACCCUGUUCAAAAUGCUAGUACUAUUUACUGAUCAAAACCUCAAUUAGAAUAUGCAACCAAUGCAGGUAACUGAUUAUCUUGUAAAAGACUCUUAAAGAAAGUUGAGUUUCUGGAGUCUGGGGGCUGGAAGGUACCCUCAGGACAGAAUAGGUGUGAAAUGAUUCUGGGCGGCUCUAUGGUCGUCCUUUUUGUAACUUGUCUGUUAUAACCAGCAAUCUAGAAGGGACUUUCUAAAAUUAGAAAAAGACAUCCACAUGAAUGACAUACCCACUAUACAAAUAAUUAGUCAUUAUCCAGGUGUUAAGAAAUUUCAAAUAUAAAACCACUGGUC